Molecule: transfer RNA, 81 nt
Filed under: Sphaerodactylus townsendi
Lineage: Eukaryota; Metazoa; Chordata; Lepidosauria; Squamata; Sphaerodactylidae
Description: tRNA-Pro
Rfam family: tRNA
About the family: Transfer RNA (tRNA) molecules are approximately 80 nucleotides in length. Their secondary structure includes four short double-helical elements and three loops (D, anti-codon, and T loops).
Source: RNAcentral
GCUAGUGUGGUGUACUGGAGAGAGUGUGGGACUGGGGAUCUCAGAGACCCAGGUUUGAAUCCUGGCUCUGUCAUAGAAGCU